Molecule: long non-coding RNA, 1072 nt
Filed under: Coturnix japonica (Japanese quail)
Lineage: Eukaryota; Metazoa; Chordata; Aves; Galliformes; Phasianidae
Description: lncRNA (ENSCJPG00005017427.1)
Source: RNAcentral
GGGGCCGGCGAGCGCCGCUUCGCCUAUAGGAAAUUCGCCGUGAGUCGUGCGGAGGGGGCGUGACUCAGCCAUGAGUCGGGGCUUGGAGCCAAUAGGAGCAGGGCAACGGGAGGGCCGGGAGCCAAUGAGGAGACUGGCGCGGCGGCCGCCUGUGAAAGUGGCGAGGCGGCGCGUUAGGGGCAGGGAGGAGAUGAGAGAGGACCUCGAUAUUGUUCGCUAUACUUUGUCAUGUGAGGCUGUAAAUCCCUUCGAGUGAGGUGGGAUUUUAGAUUUACAAACUGUUCCUAAGUGAUUACACACAUACUGCGAAGGAAAAGACUGUCCAGUAGCCAAGUGAGGGCAGAACUCAGGACGCUGAACUCAUUAAGAUUCCAGAGCAACCGGAAUUACUAAUAUGGAAUACGCUACGGAGAAAAAUAAUUGUUUUAUUUGUUUAAAGUACCAUAUUGAUGUUAAAUAAGCAAUAUUCAUAUGUCAUUGUAUGUACAGUAGCCCAAGUGAACUUAGCAGCCUGUCUGAAGCAUCAGGCUAUUGCAGAAAGUCUGUGUGAGCCAUUACGGUAUUAAGAACAAAACAUAAACAAUACAGUGCCUCAAACUGGCAGCUUUUAGUACACUUUGGGUGUUUACCCUUCCAUAGUCUUGCUGACCCUUGGUCUUUGAUUUCAGAGCAACACAAACAAAACAAAAUCAAUUUCUUUAAUUUUGAUGAGCAGCAAAUACUGCGAGGAAUCAUUGCGUGAUCGUGAAGCAAAAAAGAAUUGCUGUUGUUGACAGGAUUUCACAACCGGAGGGUGAAUUUGGAAGCUCGGAGUUGCUUUGUGAAGUCUCACACCUUGUGGCCUGAGUAGAACUCUCCACAAUGAGUUCAGGAUGUAGGUUGUUCUGUUGCUAUCGACAGCACCGAAUACCAGAUGCCGCUAUGAUUGUUACAGAUACUUGCAAAAGGUGGUCCAAGAAAUAAGAACAUGUAAACAUCUGUAAUCAAAUGUUACCAUGAAGGAAAGUUCUGAGUUUGAUUUUUUGCUGUUUAUUGGAAUAAAAAAUCAUUCCCUCAAAUUUUCCUUUUUUUU